Molecule: non-coding RNA, 48 nt
Filed under: Trichobilharzia regenti
Lineage: Eukaryota; Metazoa; Platyhelminthes; Trematoda; Strigeidida; Schistosomatidae
Source: RNAcentral
GUCCAGCUGACGAGUACCAUAUAGGACGAAAUGCGCGUUAUCCUGGAU